This 76-nucleotide transfer RNA is filed under the name Mycobacterium phage Cactojaque. Its description in RNAcentral is "tRNA-Leu". Lineage: Duplodnaviria; Heunggongvirae; Uroviricota; Caudoviricetes. The record is from RNAcentral.
GCCCUGCUGAGCAAACUGGCAAAGCUGCCGCAUUCAGAGUGCGGGUCAUUUCCGGGUUCGACUCCCGGGCAGGGUA